UUCUCCCUCCCACUGGCCCUCAGGGCUCCUGCACUAGUGUAGCAGCAGCCCAUCUUCAAGACUCCUGGUGUCUUUUGGGCUUUAGCUGCCUCCCUGCUCUGAAACCUCAGUAGCUCCCUAAGGCCUGCAGGAAGCAUCCUGGAGUGUUUAGCCUGGUUUAUGGGGUCAUGGGAUCCUCUGCGCUGUGACCCCAGGCUUCCUUUCCAUCCCUUAUUCCCUUCUGUUCACUCUUGGGCCCUCUCCCGUACUCGAAGCCAAGUGCCCUAGGGCCCAGCACAGGCCAGGACUGGGCACAGCUGACCCUGGUAGAGAUUAGGGAGGAACAGUUGCCUCUCUUUGCCCUGCUGUGAACACCACUGGCCUUUCCUUCAGAUAGCUUGUUCACUUCCCAACCCAUCCCUCACCCCCAGGGGAGAUCGUGGUGAAAUGGUUUGAGGCUGUUCAGACUGGCCUGCCCAUGUGCAUCCUGGGUGCUCUCUUUGGACCGAUCCAACUCAGUGCUCAGAGCCUGCAAGUGCUGGUCUCGGAGUUGAUCCCAUGGGCCGUUCAGAAUGGGCGCAGAGCCCCGUGUGUCCUCAACCUGUACUAUGAGCGGCGCUGGGAGCAGUCCCUGAGGGCUCUACGGGAGGAGCUGGGCAUUACGGCACCACCCGUGCAUAUCCAGGGCUUGGCCUGAGUUCCUGAGCCAGCGGGGCCUGGCCUACCUCCCCCAUCUACUGCUUCCCUUGGGGGCAGAGGGAUCCCUUGACUACCUUUGUUCCUCUUCUUUGAACACUGACCCUUGGACAACAUUUAUCAUAAUUUAUCAUAGCCACUGCUGAGUGGCCUUGAGGAUGAACCCCGCAGGGAGCAAGCAGUACAGUGGCACUCCCAGGGGGACCAGCAGCUGUCCAAGGAGAACUAUGCGUGAACAGUAUCAGUCGUCUGGGCUCAUGCUGGGAUGUCGCAGCACUCCUGUUGCGACUCCUUCCAACCAGCCAGGUUUGCUGGGGGCCAGGCUGGGUGUCCUCACGGGAGUGAGGGCUACACCCAAUUCCCAAAGCCUGAGAAGAGAGAAGUGGAGGGGGGAGGGGAGGCGAGUGUGUGAAUAAAGGCUCCCAUCAGGUC
Molecule: long non-coding RNA, 1107 nt
Organism: Mandrillus leucophaeus (drill)
Lineage: Eukaryota; Metazoa; Chordata; Mammalia; Primates; Cercopithecidae
Exons: 2
Source: RefSeq, a predicted model, not a curated record